AGCAGCCGCGGUAAUUCCAGCUCCAAUAGCGUAUAUUAAAGUUGUUGCAGUUAAAAAGCUCGUAGUUGAAUUUCGGGAUCAAUACGUCGGUCGUGCCUCUGGUAUGUACUGGUGUUAUUGAUUUCUCCCUUCUGGUGAACCAUGAUGUCAUUAAUUUGGUGUUGUGUGGAGUCAGGACUGUUACUUUGAAAAAUUAGAGUGUUUAAAGCAGGCUCACGCUUGAAUACAUUAGCAUGGAAUAAUGAAAUAGGACGUUCGAUCCUAUUUUGUUGGUUUCUAGGAUCAACGUAAUGAUUAAUAGGGAUAGUUGGGGGCAUUAGUAUUCAAUUGUCAGAGGUGAAAUUCUUGGAUUUAUUGAAGACUAACUACUGCGAAAGCAUUUGCCAAGGAUGUUUUCAUUAAUCAAGAACGAAAGUUAGGGGAUCGAAGACGAUCAGAUACCGUCGUAGUCUUAACCAUAAACUAUGCCGACUAGGGAUCGGAUGAUGUUAAUUUUAUAAUGA
This 503-nucleotide ribosomal RNA is filed under the name uncultured Glomus. RNAcentral describes it as "SSU rRNA". It matches the Rfam family "Eukaryotic small subunit ribosomal RNA", at positions 569 to 1077 of the family's 1831-position model. Lineage: Eukaryota; Fungi; Glomeromycota; Glomeromycetes; Glomerales; Glomeraceae. The record is from RNAcentral.